RNAcentral lists this ribosomal RNA (468 nucleotides) under uncultured bacterium. RNAcentral describes it as "partial 16S ribosomal RNA". It matches the Rfam family "Bacterial small subunit ribosomal RNA", at positions 28 to 507 of the family's 1533-position model. The record is from RNAcentral.
GACGAACGCUGGCGGCGUGCUUAACACAUGCAAGUCGAACGGAAAGGCCCUGCUUUUGUGGGGUGCUCGAGUGGCGAACGGGUGAGUAACACGUGAGUAACCUGCCCUUGACUUUGGGAUAACUUCAGGAAACUGGGGCUAAUACCGGAUAGGAGCUCCUGCUGCAUGGUGGGGGUUGGAAAGUUUCGGCGGUUGGGGAUGGACUCGCGGCUUAUCAGCUUGUUGGUGGGGUAGUGGCUUACCAAGGCUUUGACGGGUAGCCGGCCUGAGAGGGUGACCGGCCACAUUGGGACUGAGAUACGGCCCAGAAUCCUACGGGAGGCAGCAGGGGGGAAUAUUGCACAAUGGGCGGAAGCCUGAUGCAGCAACGCCGGGGGGGGGAUGACGGCCUUCGGGUUGUAAACCGCUUUCGCCUGUGACGAAGCGGGAGUGACGGUAAUGGGUAAAGAAGCACCGGCUAACUACGUG